Molecule: ribosomal RNA, 376 nt
Filed under: uncultured Methanosaeta sp.
Lineage: Archaea; Methanobacteriati; Methanobacteriota; Methanomicrobia; Methanotrichales; Methanotrichaceae
Description: bacterial SSU rRNA
Rfam family: Archaeal small subunit ribosomal RNA
Source: RNAcentral
AAGACUUACCCGAUUAGCUGAGAGGUGGUGCAUGGCCGUCGUCAGUUCGUACUGUGAAGCAUCCUGUUAAGUCAGGCAACGAGCGAGACCCACGUCCACAGUUGCCAGCAUACCCUCCGGGGUGAUGGGUACACUGUGGAGACCGCCGCUGCUAAAGCGGAGGAAGGAGUGGGCAACGGUAGGUCAGUAUGCCCCGAAUCUCCCGGGCUACACGCGGGCUACAAUGGUUGGUACAAUGGGCAUCUACCCCGAAAGGGGAAGGAAAUCUCUUAAAGCCAAUCGUAGUUCGGAUUGAGGGCUGCAACUCGCCCUCAUGAAGCUGGAAUCCGUAGUAAUCGCGUUUCAACAGAACGCGGUGAAUACGUCCCUGCUCCUU